This 523-nucleotide ribosomal RNA is filed under the name uncultured bacterium. RNAcentral's name for it is "bacterial SSU rRNA". It matches the Rfam family "Bacterial small subunit ribosomal RNA", at positions 356 to 896 of the family's 1533-position model. The record is from RNAcentral.
GGGGAAUAUUGGACAAUGGACCAAAAGUCUGAUCCAGCAAUUCUGUGUGCACGAUGACGUUUUUCGGAAUGUAAAGUGCUUUCAGUUGGGAAGAAAAAAAUGACGGUACCAACAGAAGAAGUGACGGCUAAAUACGUGCCAGCAGCCGCGGUAAUACGUAUGUCACAAGCGUUAUCCGGAUUUAUUGGGCGUAAAGCGCGUCUAGGUGGUUAUGUAAGUCUGAUGUGAAAACGCAGGGCUCAACUCUGUAUUGCGUUGGAAACUGCAUGACUAGAGUACUGGAGAGGUAAGCGGAACUACAAGUGUAGAGGUGAAAUUCGUAGAUAUUUGUAGGAAUGCCGAUGGGGAAGCCAGCUUACUGGACAGAUACUGACGCUAAAGCGCGAAAGCGUGGGUAGUAAACAGGAUUAGAUACCCUGGUAGUCCACGCCGUAAACGAUGAUUACUAGGUGUUGGGGGUCGAACCUCAGCGCCCAAGCUAACGCGAUAAGUAAUCCGCCUGGGGAGUACGUACGCAAGUAUG